Long non-coding RNA from Esox lucius (northern pike), 896 nucleotides. RefSeq lists it as uncharacterized. NCBI's taxonomy places the organism in Eukaryota, Metazoa, Chordata, Actinopteri, Esociformes, Esocidae. The record is from RefSeq and is a predicted model, not a curated record. The transcript is spliced from 5 exons.
CACACCUUCAAAGAAGUACACUGCUACAAACGUCCCGGCCUGUCAGUUCUGACAGUCUGCCAACUGAUGGAGCCUGAUAGGAAAUGGUAGAACAGUCUCCCUAACUAAGUGCGACAACGUACUCACUUCCCACUGAGGCUCAAAGAGAAUAAACGAAUGGAACCCUCGUAUGUGUCAGGCCAAGGAGAUACCUGCAGCCCUGUGGCCUGGGACGGCUGUGGUGUCCCUGGGCUCUCCAGUUUUCAGAGGAGUGGGAGGGUUUGGGAUGAAACAUGGUGGCAGGCGAGUUCUCCCUGAAGAGAACACCAGGACAUGUUGUGAGCAGUUCCAGGUUCCUGUGAGUGUCCCAACUGCAUGCUGGCACAGAGAGGGAACAUCUGCUGGCUUGGCCAGGCCAGGCGGAUCAGGCUCCAGAUCCAGAGAGAACCAUCGGAUGGCUGCAGAUAUGGGCACCCCUCGGACUGUGUAUGUUUGUUCAGGUGGAAUCAUGCAUGCAUGCAUGCAUGCAUUGUUAAGUGACUCCAACGAUCAUCGCUUUACCAACGUCUCCAGAAGGACGCACAGACCCAGAGCUGCAAAAUGGGCCCUGGGAACAGAGCUCAUCUGCAUCCCCUGACAAGGCACACCCGCCUCCAACCAAGCCUCAUUGGGCGAGGACAAAAGGGCCCCGGAUGAUCAUCUCUGGGGACAGGGAAUAAGGAGAGUGUGACGCCAAACCUCACUACCCGUGCUGAGGCAUCCAAAGCUACAACCUCAACCAGAGGUUUGAAUUGAAGUUUGACUUUUAAUGUGCUCCUACUGUGUUUUUGUUAAUAAAUGUCCCCAAGGCUGGUGGAAGCUGGUGUCAGGUUGCACUGGGACUGGAAGUGCCGUGGUGUGUGAGGGAGGUAGAGAUG